RNAcentral lists this long non-coding RNA (1218 nucleotides) under Canis lupus dingo (dingo). Its description in RNAcentral is "lncRNA (ENSCAFG00020002861.1)". The record is from RNAcentral. Lineage: Eukaryota; Metazoa; Chordata; Mammalia; Carnivora; Canidae.
AUGGAUGUGAGGUUCUACCCCGCGGCGGCCGGGGACCCCGGCGGCCUGGACUUCGCGCAGUGCCUGGGGUACUACGGCUACAGCAAGGUGACCGACCGGGCCGGGGCCGGGGAGCCGGGGGGCCGGGGGGCCGGGGGGCCGGGGGGCCGGGGGGCUGGGGCGGGGGCGGGGGCCACCUCCCCAUCCCGGGCGCGGGCGCGCCCCGCUCUCCAGCCCCCGCCCGCUGCACUUUUCUCUCCCGCUCCGCUCCUUUGCCUCUGCGCCCUCGUCCCUGUCCAACUCUCCCACUCCACUCUUUCUGCCCCCUUCCCCCCCCCCCUUUUUGUCCCUCUGCCGGCGCUCGGCGCUCCCUCCCCGCGCGCCCCCACCGCCAGCCCCGCCGACUCCCCUUUGCUGCCCCAAAGAAGCGAAGAGCAGCCCAAGGACCGAAGGAGGGGACACGCUUGUGAUUCUUUGUUGUUGUUAUUAGUAAACACGGUCCCAGCGCCCCUGAGUUGGGGAGGGGGGUGCGACGCAGGAGUCCCCGAUCUCGUGGUCCGACGACCUCGCCGCCCCCUCCCCCCUCCCCGCCCCUCUUACCUUCCCCGCGCACUCGAGAGCUGGACCCGGGGCCGCUCGGGGGAGGAAAGGAACAAACUUUUGAGCGUGCCCUGGAUUGGGCGGGGGGUGGGGGGGGGCGAAGUGUUGGGACCCCCGCAGGUGGCCUCUGCUGCCCUCUGGCUCGGGCGCUUCGGACCGCGGGACGGAGGUGCCGGCCCCUCCCUGGUUAGCGCGAGCGGCUUCUCAUCUUUCAUUUUUUGGGGAGGGGUAAGUUUUGCAUUUCGGGGAGAUCGGGUUUGGAGACGUCCACACCACGCGCGGGGUCACCCCACCUCCACCCGGUCCGCCCCGCCCCCAGCCCCCGCGCCAACUUCGAGGACCGCGCGUCUCAGGUGGGCGAAGGUGGGUCUCGCCGGGGCAGCGGGCGCAGCUCGGACCCGGCGAGUCGGUGCGGGAGGCGCAGCCCUGCGGCCGGGGCGGCGCGGACUCCCCUUCCCGGUCCUUCCUGAAGCCCCCGCGGCCAGGCUUUGGAGGAAACAUCACCCCGAGGGCGAUGUUCAGAGAAAGAGCUGUGCUCUGGAUGGCCUGUGCCUUUUGAAUGUGGUUUUUCUUUCUCCUUCCCCCCUGCUCCUCCCUCCCCCCCCCCCCCUUUUCUUUCAAAUCGUAGUUUGUUUAUGA